GAAAAACCUGCCCUUCAAAGACAGACUGUGGUAACCACAGAACAUAACCAUUCUUAAUCACAGGACAACGAAGGUUACGUCAUAUCUGCAGCAUGUGUUAUGAAGCAGCCAAGUGUAGAGGAAGUUUUCUGUUUCAGCAGGUUGAGGUUCAUCAUGGUGGCCUCUCUGGCACUGGAACCAAACAUGGUACCCUUCAUCUCCCUCAAGAUGGUGUUCAGAGUAGUCCCCCCCAAAAAAUAAAAAAAUAAAAUGUAUGGUUAGAGUGAAUAACUAAGCACGUGAAAGCGAGGCAAGUACACAAAUAGUAUUGUCAAAGUAAGAGGGAAUACAUAUUAAAAAGGAGGAGGAGAUUAACAAUGAAGUCUAUGAAAUCAUGAAAAUUAGCAACUUUAGGUUCAAUAACUGUACCUUCUUCAUGAGUAGCAAACAUGGUCCCCUUCAUCUUCUUCGUAUCCAACAGGAAACAGUGCUCAGAGUAGUCCACCCCAAAAAACAAAACAAAAAAACAAAAGGAUGGUUAGAGUGAAUAACUGUAAGCACGAUAAAGCGAGGCAAGUACACAAAUAGUAUUGUCAAAGUAAGAGGGAAUACAUAUUAAAAAGGAAAAGGAGGAGGAGAUUAACAAUGAAAUCUAUGAAAUCAUGAAAAUUAGCAACUUUAGGUUCAAUAACUGUACCUUCUUCAUGAGUAGCAAACAUGGUCCCCUUCAUCUUCCUCGUAUCCAACAGCUCUGAGUUGCCAAACAAUGAAAAAAAAAAGGAAGUUAAAAACAAUUGGUAGAGUGAAUAACAGUAGCCACAAGACUCAGUAGCAAGUACAAAAGUAUACAGUAUACUAACCUUAUCGCAUAUGUUUAGAUCUAUUGAUUAUGGGGCUACAUCCUUUA
Pelobates cultripes (western spadefoot toad) is the source of this 886-nucleotide non-coding RNA. Lineage: Eukaryota; Metazoa; Chordata; Amphibia; Anura; Pelobatidae. The record is from the annotation of a GenBank genome assembly.